Non-coding RNA from Acanthosepion pharaonis, 114 nucleotides. NCBI's taxonomy places the organism in Eukaryota, Metazoa, Mollusca, Cephalopoda, Sepiida, Sepiidae. The record is from the annotation of a GenBank genome assembly.
UUACGGCCACAUCACGUCGAAAUAUUGGUUUCCGUGCAAUCACUUAAUUUAAGUAACGUCAAGCCUGGUCAGUACUUAGAUGGGUGACCGCUUGGGAAUACCAGGUGCUGUAAG